This 278-nucleotide long non-coding RNA is filed under the name Theobroma cacao (cacao). Its description in RNAcentral is "long non-coding RNA (TCAC_LNC000352)". The record is from RNAcentral. Lineage: Eukaryota; Viridiplantae; Streptophyta; Magnoliopsida; Malvales; Malvaceae.
CCUUUAGAAUUUGAAAUUUGUAAUGCUCAAUUAUAGUUCCUUUGACAACAGUUCACAAAAACCCAGGCAUGCAUUCAUAAUGGCAUCAUCAACCAUUAUAUACAUAUAUAGAUGAACAAAUGAAUCUCAACAUUUCACAAUAAAUAGUCAUAUACACGUAAUUAAAACUUGACCGGCAGCGGAGUGACUCUGGGCACGAUUGAUAACACUUAGUGUCACGUUAAACCUAUCGAGCAAUGUAUAAGGAAGAACACCUCGUCCUAGGAUCCAAUCACCUU